RNAcentral lists this ribosomal RNA (354 nucleotides) under Triticum aestivum (bread wheat). Its description in RNAcentral is "partial small subunit ribosomal RNA". The record is from RNAcentral. Lineage: Eukaryota; Viridiplantae; Streptophyta; Magnoliopsida; Poales; Poaceae.
AUGAGCAAGUGGUGGUGCAUCGCCUCCCUCGUACUGUGCCUCGCCGUGGUGGCGGCGGGCAGGGGUAUGCCUGCCGGCGACGACUGCGAUAUUGUCGUUAAUGCGGCCGGUCGUAACAAUCAAGACGGUGAUGGUUUCGAUGAAGCCAAGACUGCCUUUGCUGGGAGCACUGGUGGUGACGGCGGGCUCUUCGGUGGUGCCAUCAACGGUGGCCCGCUCGGCGGGGGCAUCGCCGGCUUUGGCCCUCACGGCGGGUUUGGGGCUGGCGCCGGGCCGUUCGGUGGUUUCGGCGGCGGCUUCGGCGCUGGUAGCGGAGGUGGAGGAGGGGGAGGCGGAGGCGGCGUGAUACCUUGA